Molecule: RNA transcript, 9719 nt
Organism: Cornus florida
Lineage: Eukaryota; Viridiplantae; Streptophyta; Magnoliopsida; Cornales; Cornaceae
Exons: 9
Source: RefSeq, a predicted model, not a curated record
AUAAACACCGCUUUGCUCAGCUCUCUUUCCCAUUUGCCCCUCUGUGUCUCUCUCUCUCUAUAAAUUUCAUUUUUCAAUCACUAACCAGACUCGAUACACUCGACAGUUUGUUAAAUUGUUGUCACUGUUUUGUCUCUCGAAAACCCUAGAAAUCCUUACUUCUAUUCACCUACUCCCUCGGGCGUAGGGUUUACAAUCCUGAAUCAUAUAUGAGCAAUAUUUCAGUGGGAGUUAAGGCAUAAAUCUGUGUCGACAUGGGUUUCGAUAACGAGUGUAUAUUGAACAUUCAGUCUCUUGCCGGAGAGUACUUCUGUCCCGUGUGUCGCCUGCUUGUUUACCCAAGUGAAGCGCUACAGUCACAGUGCACCCAUCUAUAUUGCAAGCCUUGUUUGACAUACGUUGUGGGAACUACCCGGGCUUGCCCGUAUGAUGGAUACUUGGUGACAGAGGCGGAUUCUAAGCCGCUAAUAGAAUCAAACAAAGCACUGGCAGAAACCAUAGGGAAAAUAGUAGUUCAUUGUCUCUAUCAUAGGAGUGGGUGCACAUGGCAAGGUCCUUUAACUGAGUGCACUUCGCAUUGCUCUGGGUGUGCCUUUGGAAAUUCUCCAGUGGUAUGCAACAGGUGUGGAAUCCAAAUUGUGCAUCGUCAAGUACAGGAGCAUGCACAAAACUGUCCUGGUGUGCAGCCUCAAGCACAGCAAUCACAGGGUGGCCAGGACACUGCAGCCACAGGCUCAGCAGCUUCUGCUGACCAGGGCCAGACUGGUAAUCUAUCUGGACCACCAACUUCACAGGCCCAGACUUCACAAACGACAACUGUCCCACCAACUGGACAUGAAUCUAAUCAACAAACAAGUGCAAAUACUCAGGCUCAGGCUCAGGCUCAGGCUCAGGCUCAGGCUCAGGCUCUAGCUCCGUCUGCUGUGCCAACUCCAGAACAGUGGUAUCAGCAACAAUAUCAACAGUACUACCAGCAGUAUCCUGGAUAUGACCCCUACCAGCAGACUUAUCAAAAUUACUAUCCGUAUCAACAACAGGCCAUCCAGCAAUACCAGCAGCAUCCUCAACACGUGCAAGGGCAGCCUCAGGCCCAACCCCCAUCUCAACCUCAUCCUCAGCCUCAACCCCAGGUGCAGGCUCAGGGCCAGCCCCAACCUCAACCUCAACCUCAACCUCAACCUCAACCUCAACCUCCAGCUCAACCACAGCCUCAAUCUCAACCUCCAGCUCAACCACAGCCUCAAUCUCAACCUCAAUCACAGCCUCAACCGCAUCAGCAUGUCCAAGCUCCGGCUCCUGUCCAAAAUCAGAAUAAAGCUCUAGUCAAUCCACAGCCACAACUCCACCCUGCAGUGCAGCCUAGCACUCAAAUGCAAUUACAGACUCAACCACCUCUGCACGGCCACCUGUACCCCCAGUCUCAGCCAUACCCCCAGUCUCAGCCAUACCCCCAGGCUCAGCCAUACCCUCAGCCCCAGCCCCAGCCCCAGCCCCAGCCCAUUCAGUCUCAUCCACAACAGCACAUGCAGAUGCCUCAGUAUCAACAGCCUCAUUCUCAGAUGCAACAUCCACAGCCACAAAUUCAGUCUCAGCCUCAUUCACAGGUUCACCCCCAGCAACAUUCCCAUUCUCAACCUCAACCACAAGCUCAGCCACCCACACAGAUUCAACAUCAUCCCAAUCCUCUUCCCCAGCCCCACCCUCCUCAGUCCAAUCAGAUGCCAAAUCCAAAUGCCCAGCUUCAGACUCAGCAUCCCUCGACCCUUGCAGUGACGGGCCAUCACUCCUAUCCACAAUCUCAUGGUCUCCCGCAAAUGCAAUCAGGAGGCUCACAACAGCACCUUAUGCAUAUGCAUCCCCAUAGUGGGCCUCUGCCUCAGCAUCCUUCCCAAAUGCAUGGUCAGUUCCCUCAGCAAUCUUCUCAGAUGCGUCCACCCCAAUCUCAUGCUCCAAUUCCUAACCAGCAACAGCCAGUUUUGGUGCCAUCUCAGGGGCAAGUCCCUAGCAUCCCUCCUGCACAACAGCAGUCAGUUCUCCCACACACUCAGCAACCUGGUCAUCCAAUUCAUCACCUUCCUGUUAUGCAGCCAAUUCAACAACCAGCAUCCCAUCAAUAUGUGCAGCAACAUCCUAUUCCAGGACAAACAUCGGGUCCGGUUCAGAGUCAAUUACAUCAGCAGGGUCAUUUUGCACCUCAUCAGCAGCAGCUUAUGCAGUCCCAGUUGCGUCCUCAGAGUCAGCCUCAUCCAGUGCAACAAAAUUCUCAUGCCUAUCAGCAGUCACAGCAAAUUGCACUUGGCAUGCAACCUCACCAAUCUCAAAAUUAUAUGGGAAGACCUAUGAUGCCAAAUCAUGGGGCACAAUUUCAGCAAGCCCCUGGUGGGUUUGUUGGUGCACCUCAAGUUAGGCCGAUGCAGCUUGCUACAAAUCCGCCUUCUGUGAAUCAGACUAAUUCACUUAGGACCAGCAACCAACUGCAAACAAUUUCAGGCGAUCAUAUGUCCAAUAAGAAUGUAGCCGAGCGAGGAGUUGAAUCACCCUCUCAGAAAACUGCCAAAACAGAAGCAAAUGGUUUGGUUCUGACAUCUGGUCUUGGAGCUGAUUCAGUUGAAGGAAGAACUCAUAAAUCUGAAACAGAUGUGAAAUCCAUGAUUGGUGAACAGAAACCCAUGGGUUAUGAUGCGAAUAAUGCUAGUCAGUUUGACACUCUUGGCAAGGCUACAGACUUGGCCUCAUAUACCGCAGAAAAUGGUCCAGGAGAUCCUGCAAUUAAGCCUAUGGUGAAGAAAGAGGGUACUGAUGGUAUGUUGGAGCCUUCACCUGGUGGCAAGUCUACUCAAACUGUAGCUGAGGAGCACAAGGAUGCUGAUGUCCCUAAACAAGUGGAGCAGUCUUUCGUAGAUGAUGCAUCGAUGCAAAAAGCAGAAGCUCUUGAGGAACGUGGGAAGUUGCUGAAAGAUGUAGUGGAUGCAAGUGUACCAGUUUCCACUGGGGCUGAAAAAGGUUCACAAGCUCUUCCUCCGUCAUCUGCUUCUACAUCUGAUAAUUCAAUUCAGAAAGUUGUCCCUCUGGGUAAUUCUCAGACUCCUCUUGUUGGUAGGGAUCCUUCGCAACAUGGUUAUCCGGACCGAAAUUCGAGUCAAUCCGAACAUACACAUCAAGUUCCUGGGGUUGAUGAAUAUAGGGGCUUCCCGCCAAAUGGUCAGGUGCAGGGCAAGGGAUUCAUGCAUCCUUCCCAUCCUGUUCCACUCACCGAUCAAGGAAGGCUUCAGCAACCGCAGAUGCACUAUGGGGCUUCCACUCAUCAACAAAGGCCUGCUGCACCUUCAAUGUUACAGUCAGUGCCUCCGACAGGACCACCUCCAGGACCCCCGUAUCAUGCACAAGUGCCAGGGCAACCACUAAGGCCUCAAGGACCUGGAAUUUUACCUCAGCCAGGACAAACUUUAAAUCCACCUGAGCAUUUGCGGCCACCUUUGAAGCAGCCUUAUGGUUCUUUUCAUCCUGAAGUACCCUUGGAUGGAAUCCCAGGUCCUGGCUCUUUAUUUGGGAGGGGACCUAAUCAUGCUGGCCUUCCUCUGCAAGCUAGUGCUCCUCAAGGACAUUAUAAUCAAGGUCUUGUUCCUACUCAACAUGCUGCGCUCCCUAGGAUUUCCCAAGGUGAACUUCCUGGUGGAGGGGCACCACAAGGUGUGGUUCCUCCGGGCUCAUUUGAUUCAUUUGGUGGGAUAAUGGGAAGAGCACCACCGCAUGGCCCUGAAGGUCAUUUUGGUAAGCAGCAUCCUAUUAAUCCGUUGGAGACUGAAACCUUUCCACAUCAGAAGUCCCGUCCCUUUGAUGGCAGACAACCUGAAUCCCAUCUGCCUGGGACUUUGGGAAUGAGUCCCUUUAGGCCACCCUCUGGUUUAGAAUCAAAUACGUUGAGAAUGGGUGGGGGCCCAGGUCAUGAUUUUUCAUCUGCACGAACAGACGGGCGUUUAAAUCCCUUCCCAUUGGAACCAGGUCGGCACCUUGAUCGAGCACCAGAGCGACAUGACAAGGCAACUGUUGGUAUCAAUUCUGAUGCUGGAUUGAAGUUGGAUCCCAGUGCUGGUGGUGCUCCUACAAGGUUCUUACCUCCUUAUCAUCCCGCUGGUACAUUUCACUCGGGUGAUACUCUAGAAAGAACACACCCGGUUGGUCCUGAUGAUAACAUUGGGAGAGCAGAUAUCUCUCGUACUCAUCCAGAUUUUCGUGGACCUGGAUUUGGUCGGCAUCAUAUGGACCGUUUAACUCCUAGAAGUCCGGGUAGAGAGUAUCCUGGCAUUUCAGCUCCGGGAUUUGGAGGUCUUUCUGGCAUGUCAACUAACAAGUCAGGCCUGGAUGAUAUUGAUGGCAGGGAACCACGCGCAUUUGGCGAAGGAUCCAGAUCCUUCAAUUUACCUUCAGAUCGAGCUGGCAAUUCAUUUCAUGAGAGUCGGUUUCCUAUUUUACCCAGCCACUUGCGAAGAGGUGAGUUUGAUGGUCCAAUUGGUUCGCGCGGUGGUGACUUGAUUGGGCGAGAUAUUCUGCCUGGCCAUUCACGGAGGGGUGAAUUUAUGGGUCCCCGGAACUUACCAGCUCAUUUGCAUUUGGGAGAGCCUGGUGAGUUUGGUGUUUUUCCUGAUCCUGCACGUAUGGGGGACCUUGCUCAUCAUCUACCCCUUGGUGAAUCACUUCGCGGCAACAAGUCAAGUCAUCCACGUCUUGGUGAACCUGGAUUUAGAAGCAGUUAUUCCCUGCAAGGAUUUCCAAAUGAUGGUGGAUUUUACACAGGUGGCAUAAAUUCCUUCGACAACUCAAGAAAGAGGAAGCCAAUGAGCAUGGGAUGGUGCCGCAUUUGUAAAUUUGAUUGUGAAACGGUGGAAGGUCUAGACAUGCAUUCACAAACAAGGGAACACCAGAAGAUGGCUAUGGAUAUGGUACUAAGCAUAAAGCAGCAGAAUGCAAAGAAACAGAGAACGUCCAAUGAUCAUUCUUCAUUUGAAGAGGCAAGCAAGUCUAGAAGUGCUGGUUAUGAGGGUCGUGGGAAAAGGCCUUAAGUCUUGGUAGUUAUGCUGGAAAAUGAGCUGAAGUGAUCAAUUACCGACAUGGGCUCACAGUAGUCUUCAGUUUUUUAAGAGUUAGUAAUGUAGGUGAUUCACCCUUCUCUAUCUCUUCUAUGCUUUCUGGGUGGUUUAUGCUAGUUUUGUCAUUUCAGGUUGCUGCCCUGUUUUUGGAGAUGGUUUUUUUGGAACUGAAGUUUCAGUGGCAAUCUUUUCCAUUCAACCUGUCUUUUUUCGGCGAAGCAGACAACCAAAUGGCUGAAAGUUCAGCAGAAAGUUUAACUCAAACUUUUAUGUGCAUCCUAUCUGAUGAUAGAAAAGGAUCCCCUGAUCUUGAACUGGUCUUACCUCGGAUUGCAACUCCCGUGUUUUUCUAUGAAGAGCAGAUCCAAGGUGUGUGAAGGUUACAAUUUUUUAUUUUUAAGUAGAGCAGUAGAGAUUUUAUUCAACUUUUAUGGAUCUAGGCAUGAUAAUCCUUUUGUGAAACACAUCGUAAUGAAUUAGAGAACAUUGAGCCAUCUCCUUGUCUGUCAACAAUAAAUAUGGCAGACUAGCUUAUUAAUUUUUUUAAAGAGCUCAAUGCAAAUAAAUAAAAAAUGAAUAAUAAUAAUAAUAAAAUACAAAUCUAUAUCGGGUCUUUGAAGCAGUUUGUAUCGCUUUGAUUGUAGUCAGUUUUAAGCUUCAUUUUUCUAAAACAUCUCUCUUAUUUUUAGUGUCACGAGUUAGAAAUCUCUGUUUCUAUUUUACAUUUGUGCUGUUAGAGAUAAAAAUAAAAAAACAAAUGUUUGAGUCAAUCUACAAGUUUUAGUGUACUAAGAUUGCAUCUCUUUAUAAGAGGUAAGGUGUGUCGGUUACUAUAUUAGUACUUUUGAACUUCAUUUUUAUCGUGAUUCUAAUUGUGAAAAUUCAAUGGCAGAAUGCAAUAUAAAUAUAUAUUUAAGUACAUUAGCCAUGCCUACUAGAAAUCAUGUUCCUAGGAAUUAAUAUUGUUGGUUACUUCUUAUUAUGUGUAGGGUUUCUCUUUCAACAGCAUUAGUUUUGCUCACUUCUACAUCUUGGUUAAUACUUGGAAUCUAGUGAUUUUUGGCCCAUGUUGUUCGUUUGUCUUUCUUUGCAGCUAGCCUUCUAUGCCUUUUGUGUGGUUUAUUUGGAAGGAGCAAAAUAGAACCCUUUGGUGCUAGAGGAAGUCUAAUUUCUAUAAAAUUAUACUUAAAUAUACCUCUUUUAACAUAUAUGAUCAAUGACUUGAUAAAAUUUUAUAUCAAUUUUGGCUUUUCUGUUUAGGUUGUGGUACAUCUCCCCUUGGCUCUUGUAGCACUUGAAGUACAUGUCACUUAAAAUGGGAAAACAUUUUGAGUGUGGGCGACUUAUCACUAAACACUAAAUACUUAAUUUUUUACAAAGAGUUUCAAAUAAAUUCUCAAAUUAUAAAUAGCACUUGAAAUUCAGCUUAGCUUAGGUUGUAAAAAUAUUUUUUUAAGCUAAGGGCACAUGCAGCAAUGUCAACUAUAAUUUGGAUCUAUGCUUAGAAACUUCUAAAACGUUGGGGGGUAUAAAAUUUGUUGUGUUUUCACUUGGGUUUGGCAACUCAAAUUUAGCACUAGAUACAACUUAAAAUGAUUUAUUCCCAUAGGCGACUUCAUUUGAAAUUGAACACCGAACUAUUAAAAUUCAAACAAGUAUCAACAAGAUUGUGUCUAAUGCUCUUCUAAACCAAGCUGUCUGUUUGUUUUUUCAUGCACUUCCAUUAGUUAUUAAGUUCGACAACUCAUGGUGCACUUACUUCCGUAUUCCAACUAAAACAUUACAUCCAACAAUUCAUGGUACCUUUUUCAGAAGUAUGUUUUCACCAUUUUUUAUUAUUAUUGACUCCCUUCUAUCUCAUCUUCCUCUUCAUCAGAUAACCUUCGAUAAACAAUCUGGCUUAUUUGUUGUAAUUCACCUAAGAGCAUUUGUGAUUAUGGCGUCUUUAUAAAUAAAUGCUUUUGUACAAUCGCUCAUGUAUUAUCCUGAUUGUCUUCUUUUUGACACUAAAUAUGAGUACAUAGAACCUUAUUGAUAUAGAUCUGUAUAGUUUGUUUUGAAUUCCCUACUGAAUGAUAUGUAUAGAUCUGUACACUUGGCGAACGUACCUGAUAAUUCAAUGCUAGUACAUAGAACUCUCUGAUUUGGUUACAUCUUUAAUUUAUUUCUUUAACACAAGUGACCUUACAGAAAGAGUAUUAUAAAUAUGAAAUUUAGUUUUGUCUCUGUGUUCUUGAAUUUAGGGAUUUUGGCAAAUCUGGCACUUUAAAACAUACAAAUAAGAGCCUGGAUUGGUGAUGGAUGAGUUUAGUAUGAAUUUAAAUGGAAGCAGAAAGUGUAAAAUUGGAUUUUAAGAAUGGAAGAGAUAGUUGUGGUUGACUGGCAAAAAAAUUAUAGCGUUGCUUUGUUAUCAAGGUACAAUUCUAGUCCAGGUUGACUUGCCUAUUCACCUGGGCCUUUCUUUCUCGACUGAUUUUAGAAGUCCCAUAAUUCCCCAUUACCAAUCUGUUAUUAGAAGAUCCACUUGUUGAACUGUUUGGUUCCUUAUAGUGUGUUUGGAUCGGUGGAGUUAAAUAAAAAGUACAGGAGAAGGGGGUAGCGUAUAUUGUGUUUGGUUUAAAUAGGAGAAAAAUAGGCAAGAAAUUGGAGUGUUAAGGGAUUUGUUGACCUCUAAAAUAGCGGCCGUUGCUCUGGGCAUAUCAAUUCCUUGCCAUCUCUCAAAAUUGGGUGGAUUUUAGCUGUUAUUUUUUAUUUAUAACAAGUCAAUUCCAAUUUUGUCAUUUUCACUCAAACUUUUCUUUAUUCCUCCCCACUGUCAUUUCAGAACAUAAUGGAAGUAUUUUCUUUCCUUUCCCUCCCUAAAAGACUAAUAUUAUCCUUUCCUUUCUCUCCUCCUACUUAUUCAAAUGGAUUAUUAAAAGGAGAACAGGGGAGAAUGUAGUUGAAAUAAGAGAAUUGGAGCGAUAAGAGAACUGAAGAAGAAAAAACUUCAAAAAUUUCAUCCAUUUAGUAUCUGAGGUGGAUGUCUUCCAUGUAGAUAGAUGCAUGUGGCUUCAUAUGGGAUUGCUUGUGCCAUUUUCAAAGUGCUUGUGUUGUUGGGAUGAAAUAUUAUACUUCUUUUGAUUCCCUCCAAAUCACCUGUAAUCGUUGAGUAUAUGUGGGAGCUUUAUAGUCAGUCAUAAGUAUUAAUUACUCAGCCUCGGCUAUGUAAACAUGGGUGCGUUAUUGUUCAUUGGGUCAGAUAGAGCAAAUAUUUAGAUGUUUGAAUGCUGCAAAGGAUGAUUCUAAUGAUAUGUCUAUUUGCAUCUUAAAUUAAAAUUGAGACUUUUUGUCACAGCUGAAACACUUUAGAGUCUCUCCCUUUUUAAAGCUUUAAUAAUUGACUCUUAUGUGCAAUCACUUUCGUUUUUGAGAGAAUUUUAAGUAGUGUCACACCAUUGAUAUCUCUAUGUAUAGCUUCUUGUUGAAUGUAAAUUUGUGAGGCACUUCGGAUCAUACGUGCAAACUACCAUAAUUUUGGUUUGCUCUACUCAUCUCUAUGUAUAAAGCUUAUUAUAUAUGUAAAAAAAAACUGAGAAUAGUUGCACGAAAAGUUUAUAAUGAGGUAGUUAAGAUUUGUCUGUUCAUUAUGCACAUUGGAUGUCAAAUAAAAACUCAUUGGAGGCAAAUGCUUUUACGAUUGUUUAGAGAACUAUAAUAACUACUUGGGGAUAAAAUAGCAAUGGUAUUUAAGUUUCAUAACAUUGUUGAAGUUUGGUUUCAAUACGUCAAGUUGGAAUUUUUGACUAUGUUUACAGCUGUUUUUACUAGAAUCGAAUUCAGUGAAAUUUGUGAUUUUUUCAUUGCUGUAUGAUUGGGAUUUUUAUCUGCUUCGUGAGGAGGUGCUAAGACAUGUUGGAAAUCUAUAUGUUUAAUCAAAACUUUUACUUCAUGUUUUUUUGAAAGAAAUGUAGGUUCAAAUGAUAUGCUGGAGGUUAGAAGGUUUCUAUUAGUAGACUUUCAUGUAUGUUUGGAUUAAGCUCUCCCCUUAGGCUAGAUGAGGCGGUCAUAUUGGCUUUUUGUUUAUUUACAUUACCUUUUCGACUUUUUAAUAUUUGUUUAUUUUUGUGGGCUAAAGGAAUUAAAGUUAUGCUUACAUAGGUAGUAAACUUGCUUAAUUUUCUUAGUUGUCAAACCUAUUAGAAGUAAAUGUGGAUGGAGACCAUCGAAUGUUGAGUGCUUGUGUAGAUGGCAAGUUUGAGACAUUGUCUUUCUAAACCUUAUUGGGAAUGCUAUGUUUUUAUGAAUGCUCUAAUUUUCCUUGAAGUUUCUUGUUGUGUCUGCAAGGGAAUGCCAUAUCAUAAGAUCUCCAUUCCAAAGUUACACUUGUGGGAUCAUUUACCGCGUCUUUGAUUACGGGAACAUAUCCCCUCCUGUUCAUCGGAUUGGAAAAUUGCUUGAGAGUCUGAUGCUACUUUUUGUUUAUAGAAGAGGGUCCUCGCCUGGUUUUAUAGGUUCUGUCUUCAUCAUUAGUCUUCAUGUUAUGCUGCUAGCUUGCACUUGGGUGCUUUUUCGUUUUUUUUUUUUUUUGUAAUAUAUAUAUAUAUAUAUAUAUAUAUAUAUAUAUAUAUAUAUAUAUAUAUAGUGUGUUUG